GAUGAACGCUGGCGGCGUGCCUAAUACAUGCAAGUCGAGCGAACAGACGAGGAGCUUGCUCCUCUGACGUUAGCGGCGGACGGGUGAGUAACACGUGGAUAACCUACCUAUAAGACUGGGAUAACUUCGGGAAACCGGAGCUAAUACCGGAUAAUAUAUUGAACCGCAUGGUUCAAUAGUGAAAGACGGUUUUGCUGUCACUUAUAGAUGGAUCCGCGCCGCAUUAGCUAGUUGGUAAGGUAACGGCUUACCGAGGCAACGAUGCGUAGCCGACCUGAGAGGGUGAUCGGCCACACUGGAACUGAGACACGGUCCAGACUCCUACGGGUGGCAGCAGUAGGGAAUCUUCCGCAAUGGGCGAAAGCCUGACGGAGCAACGCCGCGUGAAUGAUGAAGGUCUUCGGAUCGUAAAACUCUGUUAUUAGGGAAGAACAAAUGUGUAAGUAACUAUGCACGUCUUGACGGUACCUAAUCAGAAAGCCACGGCUAACUACGUG
Molecule: ribosomal RNA, 497 nt
Filed under: uncultured bacterium
Lineage: Bacteria
Description: partial 16S ribosomal RNA
Rfam family: Bacterial small subunit ribosomal RNA
Source: RNAcentral